Long non-coding RNA from Homo sapiens (human), 597 nucleotides. RefSeq lists it as uncharacterized. NCBI's taxonomy places the organism in Eukaryota, Metazoa, Chordata, Mammalia, Primates, Hominidae. The record is from RefSeq and is a predicted model, not a curated record. The transcript is spliced from 3 exons.
AGGUUCAAGACAUUCUCCUGUCUCAGCCUACUGAGUAGCUGGGAUUAUAGGCAUGAACAACCGUGCCCAGCCGUGUCUUCUCUUUUACCUGGCAACCCUACUAGAGGCUUUCAGAGAUAAAAAUCUGUUGGAUGACGUGCAGCUUACCCUUUCAAAGUUCCUUAAGGACCCUGGGGAAUGCAGCCAUCUGGAAUUUGCUGUCAUGCUGUGAUUUCUGCAGUAGCUUUUGUCAGGCCUCUGAGCCCAAGCUAAGCCAUCAUAUCCCCUGUGACCUGCACGUACACAUCCAAAUGGCCGGUUCCUGCCUUAACUGAUGACAUUCCACCACAAAAGAAGAGAAAAUGGCCUGUUCCUGCCUUAACUGAUGACAUUGUCUUGUGAAAUUCCUUCUCCUGGCUCAUCCUGGCUCAAAAGCUCCCCUACUGAGCACCUUGUGACCCCCACUCUGCUUGCCAGAGAACAACCCCCCUUUGACUGUAAUUUUCCUUUACCUACCCAAAUCCUAUAAAACGGCCCCAACCCAUCUCCCUUCGCUGACUCUCUUUUCAGACUCAGCCUGCCUGCACCCAGGUGAAAUAAACAGCCAUGGUGCUCACA